Non-coding RNA from Pelobates cultripes (western spadefoot toad), 562 nucleotides. Lineage: Eukaryota; Metazoa; Chordata; Amphibia; Anura; Pelobatidae. The record is from the annotation of a GenBank genome assembly.
CUGUUUAAAAAUGUUAUUGUUCAGUCGUGUCCGACUCUCCGUGACCAUAGGGACCACACAUGCCAGGUGCCUCUGAGCUCCAACAACUUCAUGUUCGUGGCUUCAGUGACUUAAUCUCUCCGUCUCUGUCGUCCCCUUCUUCGUGUGCCUUCAAUCUUUCCCAGCAUCAGUCUUCUUUAGAGAAUCCUGCCUUCUCAUUAUAUGGCCAAAAUAUUUGAGCUUUGUGACCAUAGCUUCCAGUGAUUUCCUGUAGUACGGAUUUAUUGGAUCUUCUUGCAAUCCAAUGGAUUCUAAGCAGUUUUCACAAACACCGUUCAAAGGCAUCAGUUCUAGGACGCUCAGCCUUCUUUAUAGUCCAGCUCUCACAUCCGUAUGUUACUACUGGGAAUACCAUAGUUCUGACUAUGCGGACCUUUGAUAGUCUAAUAUCUUUAGUUUUUACCAGCUUGCCAUAGCUUUCCUCCCCAGAAGCAAACCCCUUUUAAUUUAAUGACUGCAGUCACCAUCUGAAGAGAUCUUUGAUCCCAGGAAAAUAAAAUCUGUCACUGCCUCCACUUCUUCC